AGUGAACGCUGGCGGUAGGCCUAACACAUGCAAGUCGAACGGCAGCACAGUAAGAGCUUGCUCUUACGGGUGGCGAGUGGCGGACGGGUGAGGAAUACAUCGGAAUCUACUUUUUCGUGGGGGAUAACGUAGGGAAACUUACGCUAAUACCGCAUACGACCUACGGGUGAAAGCAGGGGAUCUUCGGACCUUGCGCGAUUGAAUGAGCCGAUGUCGGAUUAGAUAGUUGGCGGGGUAAAGGCCCACUAAGUCGGCGGUCCGUAGCUGGUCUGAGAGGCUGGUCGGCCACCUUGGAACUGGACCACGGUCAAGACUCCUAAGGGAGGGCGCAGUGGGGAACAUUGGACAAUGGGCGCAAGCAUGAUCCAGCCGUACCGCGUGGGUGAAGAAGGCCUCCGGGUUGUAAAGCCCUUUUGUUGGGAAAGAAAAGCAGCAGGUUAAUACCCCGCUGUUCUGACGGUACCCAAAGAAUAAGCACCGGCUAACUUCGUG
This 492-nucleotide ribosomal RNA is filed under the name uncultured bacterium. Its description in RNAcentral is "partial 16S ribosomal RNA". It matches the Rfam family "Bacterial small subunit ribosomal RNA", at positions 29 to 507 of the family's 1533-position model. The record is from RNAcentral.